UACGGGAGGUGAAGUGCCUUGGGGGUCGUGGUCAAGGUUAGGCAGGCAGGCGGAUUUCUGGGGUUCUGAUUUGGAGGAUCCGCGGGAGGGAGCUCCGGCGUGGGUUAAGGCUUGCUGUGCCUUUCUACGCCCGGGCCACGUGGGCCGACAGGGCACUCUCCGAUCAUCACAAACCUGGGGUCCAUUGAAUGCAUUUGAGAGCUUUGAAACCAUGAUCUCUUGUGGUAUGUUGUGAACCCCCAUUGUGAAAGGGGAAGAAACCGAGGCCCAGAGAAGUGAAGUUACUUACACAAGGAGCUACAGCUAGUGACUGGCCCCCAAGUCCAAAGCAUCUGUCGCUGCCCUACUCAGGGUGUAGAACGGCGCACCUAAUAAAAACCUUGUGCUGGGGUUUGCGCCUCCCAUCCCCGCCUGCUUUGGUCUUCCCCCAACCCCAAGCAGGGCUAAGAAAUCAGCGGUUCCCUUCAGCACCGAAGAUGGUGCUUUAACCUGACAGAAUGGGGAAGUUAUUAUGGUAAGUAUCGCAGAGAUUUGUUACCCAUCUGGACAUUUGUUGUUUGGCUUCCUGCUGGGGAAAACGUUCAUAUAGCCUUACGUCUUCAGUGCCCAGCCCAGAGUUGGUCGUCCCUGGAUACGUGUUGAAUGAAUGGAGGCUGUGUCGCCUUUCUUGUACCUCUUUGAACUCCCUGAAGGAAAUAGGACCAGUUUGGGGGUCAGACUCUGCCACACUCACCGGGUGUGUGUCUUUGGGUAUGUUUCUAGCCUUCUCUGGGUUUAGUUUUCUCCGUGGUAAAGUACAGUUGACCCUUGAACAAUGCGGGUUUGAACUGUGUGGGCCCACUUCUUCGCAGAUUUAAAAAAAUAUAUAUGUUGUGAAGUUUUUUUUGGAGAUUUGCUCCAAUUUGAGAAAACCAGAUGAACUGCAUAGCCUAGGAAUACUGGAAAAAAAAAAAAAAAGAUGUAUCACGAAUGCAUAAAAUAUAUGUAGAUGCUAGUUUAUCAUUUACUUCCAUGAAGUAUAAUACACAAGUUUGUUACAAAAAGGUUUAUCAAAAUGUACAGACUGUACAUGGCAUCAUUCAUAGUUGAGAGAAAUGGAAACAAAGAUGCACUAUUAAAUAACUCCAUAAAAUUAACUGCAGUACAUACUCUACGACUGUAAGAAUAUCAUAGCCACCUCCUCUUGCUGUGGUGAUCUCAAGUGUUGUGAUUUCCAAGCUUAAAACUGUGUGUUGCUAAUCCUCUCUGCGAGAUCAGUUCGUCACUCGUAAAUUUCAAAUGGCUGUAAAAAGUGAUCCCGUGGUUCUUGCAUAUUUUUCAUCAUGUUUAGCGCAAUACUGUAAACCUUGAAUAACGCCAUGGGACCCAUACGAAACACCACUGGUGAUUCUGGAAGCGCUCCCAAGAGGCAGAGAAAGGUCAUGACAUUACAAGAAAAAGUCGAAUUGCUUGACAUGUACCGUAGAUUAAGGUCUGCGGCUGCAGUGGCCCGUCAUUUCAAGAUGAAUGAAUCCAGCGUAAGGACCAUUGUAAAAAAGGAAAAGGAAAUCCGUGAGGCUGUGGCGGCAGCUACGCCAGCAGGCGCGAGCACAUUGCACUUUCUGCGAGACAGCUUUUUAUCUCGUAUUGAAAAUGAAGCUUUUACGUGGGUGCAGGAUUGCUAUAGGAAAGGCAUACCUAUAGACUCUAACACGAUUCGAGAAAAAGCAAAGUCAUUGUAUGACCACUUACAGCAAAAGGAAGGUGAAGGAUCCAAGGCUGGAGAAUUUAGUGCCAGCAAAGGAUGGUUUGAUAAUUUCAGAAAGAGGUUUGGCUUAAAAAAUGUCAAGAUAGCAGGGGAAGCAGCUUCCCCCGCCCAAGAGGCAGUAGAUGAGUUGCCACCUCAGGCGCCCAGAGUCACGGCACCAGAGGAGUUAACAGAGGGUGAGUCGGCGGAGGCGAGAGCUUCCGGACCGGUGCCGGAUGAAGAUGCGCGAGAAGCGGCGCCAGAAAACAAGUUGACGUUAGACAACCUGGCAGAAGGGUUUCGAUUAUUCAAGACGGCUUUUGACUUCUUUCACAGCAUGGACCCUUCUGUGAUACGGGCACUGAGACUAAAGCAAGUGGUGGAAGAAGGGCUGGUACCCUAUAGAAACAUUUUCAGAGAGAUGAAAAGGCAGAGAAGUCAAACGGAAGUUACAAGGUGUGUCCGUGAAGUUACACCGGGUGUGCCUGCCCCUCUUGCCUCCUCUUCCACCUCCUCUAGCUCUGCCUCCGCCUCCCCCGAGACGGCCAGACCAGCCUGUCCUCUGCCUCGCCCGCAGCCUGCUCAGCAUAAAGAUGACGAGGACAAAGACCCCUUCCACGUAAUGAAUACUAAAUAGUCGUCAUGCCGUACGGUUAAACUGACCUGUUGUGUGUGUGUGUGUGUGUGUGUGUGUGUGUGCGCGCGAGUGUCUCCGUGUGAAAAUCUGGUAACUGUACGGCAGGAACUGUGUAGGACUGCAUCAUCGCCUGGGUAUUCAUUGGGCAGGACAUCAUAUGCAAGAUUCGCCCGCAAGUGGAUGGCCUGUCCUUAGAGGCAUAAGACGCGUUGAGUGUCCACGGUGGAAGGAACCUGGGAAACCAUGCAAUCCAAACCAUGCAAUUUGCAGCUCGGGGCCCGCCCUUUGUUAAUGUGCAGCGUCCAGGGUGUACCCGUGUCACUGUGACCUCUGCCCCACCAAAGAUGAGCUGAGCGUAAGGACCACGCCUUGUCUAUCCCUGUGCCCCCGUCACAUGGUAAGUCCUUGAUGAAGCCUGGUGAAAAUAGUGGCCUCACAGUAUGUCCUAAGUACAGGCAGACUUGGGCAGGUAGAGUAUAACCCCCCAAGACCUCCCUAAGAGGUACAGAGUAGGUGCUUAAUGUGUGCUUGUCAAACAAUUAUUUAACAAAACUGUUUCCAAACCCAAAAAGGACACAUUCACUCUGUUUCCAUUAUAAAUUUUUUUUUUUAAAUUGAAGAAUACCGAUUAACACAGGAAACAUUUAAUUUCACGGAAUUGUGCGUAUGGUCAUCAGUUACACUGUGACAUGUUAACUUCUUUAUCAUUUAUUCGCACUGUCAACAGAAUACCGUGAACAAGAUGUGAAUGCAUUAGUGGGCGGUGCUCCCUAGCUAUGCUCCUCUACCAUGGGCUGAUAUAUGUAUACAUUUAUAUAUAUAUAUGUAUAGAGAUAGGUAUAGAUAUAUAGAUGUUUUAAUGUGCACAAUUUUGCAUGGUUACUGUCAGUAAAAAUUAUAAAAAAACAUUUACAAUAAAAGUGAGGAUGUGCUAAGACUUGCUAUUACAGGACCUUGCUUUCUGUAAAAGACUUCCUAGAGAUAGUUACUAAAGUCCACAGCACUAAUGGGAGAUGGGUUCGUUCCCAGACCGUCGGCCACAGAAGCGCUCCGCGGGCCCAGCCCUGGACAGCAACCUGUCGGCCGGGCUCCCCGUUGUUACCCCCCUCUCCACAGUUUCUACCAUCUUGAGCCCUGCCGAGAGUCCUCUGCUUUGAAAUCCUUCCAGCUCUACCCCCACCCUGAAAAGAAGAUGCCUCAGGAACUCCUACUACGCCCUGAGCCAACAAGAACGUGUUGAUAAAUGGCUUAAAAAGUUUCACGAGAAGUAACUUCCCUUGGUAAGGAGGGAGUAAGUCUGGACAUGACUUCCCAGAUAAAACGAUUUCAUUCCUCUAUGACUGCCCCGUGGGAGAGAACAAAAUGUCUAUGGCCACUCUCUCCACCAAAGAGAGCCCAGUUUCUGGUCGUGCCCUGGCUCGGAAACCUUUGGGACCCCAGGAACCUUACUGAAUGUUUGCACCCAACGUUAAAGUCCUCCAGAGAAAGCGUCCUCAUGCCAAUACAUGAAUUAUGGUUUGGUUUGCA
This is an RNA transcript of Neofelis nebulosa (Clouded leopard), 3890 nucleotides long. It is a transcript of the gene named transmembrane protein 186, with no coding region annotated. Lineage: Eukaryota; Metazoa; Chordata; Mammalia; Carnivora; Felidae. The record is from RefSeq and is a predicted model, not a curated record. The transcript has 3 exons.